UUAAGUUAAUAAGGGCGCACGGUGGAUGCCUUGGCACUAGGAGCCGACGAAGGACGUGACAAACGACGAUAUGCCUUGGGUAGCUGUAAGUAAGCGAUGAUCCAGGGAUUUCCGAAUGGGGGAACCCAACAGGUAAUACCUGUUACCUACAUCUGUUAAGGAUGUGAGGAGGAAGACGCAGUGAACUGAAACAUCUAAGUAGCUGCAGGAAGAGAAAGCAAAAGCGAUUGCCUUAGUAGCGGCGAGCGAAACGGCAGAAGGGCAAACCGAAGAGUUUACUCUUCGGGGUUGUAGGACUGCAAUGUGGACUCAAAGAUUAUAGAAGAAUGAUUUGGGAAGAUCAGCCAAAGAGAGUAAUAGCCUCGUAUUUAAAAUAGUCUUUGUACUUAGCAGUAUCCUGAGUACGGCGGGACACGUGAAAUCCCGUCGGAAUCUGGGAGGACCAUCUCCCAACCCUAAAUACUCCCUAGUGACCGAUAGUGAACCAGUACCGUGAGGGAAAGGUGAAAAGCACCCCGGGAGGGGAGUGAAAUAGAACCUGAAACCGUGUGCCUACAACAAGUUCGAGCCCGUUAAUGGGUGAGAGCGUGCCUUUUGUAGAAUGAACCGGCGAGUUACGUUAUGAUGCGAGGUUAAGUUGAAGAGACGGAGCCGUAGGGAAACCGAGUCUGAAUAGGGCGCCUUAGUAUCAUGACGUAGACCCGAAACCAUGUGACCUACCCAUGAGCAGGUUGAAGGUGCGGUAAGACGCACUGGAGGACCGAACCAGGGCACGUUGAAAAGUGCUUGGAUGACUUGUGGGUAGCGGAGAAAUUCCAAACGAACUUGGAGAUAGCUGGUUCUCUCCGAAAUAGCUUUAGGGCUAGCGUCGACAUUAGAGAUUCUUGGAGGUAGAGCACUGUUUGGGUGAGGGGUCCAUCCCGGAUUACCAAUCUCAGAUAAACUCCGAAUGCCAAUGAAUUAUGGUCGGCAGUCAGACUGCGAGUGCUAAGAUCCGUAGUCGAAAGGGAAACAGCCCAGACCACCAGCUAAGGUCCCAAAAUAAUUGUUAAGUGGAAAAGGAUGUGGGGUUGCACAGACAACUAGGAUGUUAGCUUAGAAGCAGCUAUUCAUUCAAAGAGUGCGUAAUAGCUCACUAGUCGAGUGACCCUGCGCCGAAAAUGUACCGGGGCUAAAACAAUUUACCGAAGCUGUGGAUACCUUUAUAGGUAUGGUAGGAGAGCGUUCUAUGUGUGAUGAAGGUAUACCGUGAGGAGUGCUGGAACGCAUAGAAGUGAGAAUGCCGGUAUGAGUAGCGAAAGACAGGUGAGAAUCCUGUCCACCGUAAGACUAAGGUUUCCAGGGGAAGGCUCGUCCGCCCUGGGUUAGUCGGGACCUAAGGAGAGACCGAAAGGUGUAUCCGAUGGACAACAGGUUGAUAUUCCUGUACUAGAGUAUGUAGUGAUGGAGGGACGCAGUAGGCUAACUAAAGCAGACGAUUGGAAGAGUCUGUCUAAGCAGUGAGGUGUGAAUUGAGUCAAAUGCUUAAUUCUAUAACAUUGAGCUGUGAUGGGGAGCGAAGUUUAGUAGCGAAGUUAGUGACGUCACACUGCCAAGAAAAGCUUCUAGCGUUUAAACAUACUCUACCCGUACCGCAAACCGACACAGGUAGUCGAGGCGAGUAGCCUCAGGUGAGCGAGAGAACUCUCGUUAAGGAACUCGGCAAAAUGACCCCGUAACUUCGGGAGAAGGGGUGCUGACUUAAAGUCAGCCGCAGUGAAUAGGCCCAAGCAACUGUUUAUCAAAAACACAGCUCUCUGCUAAAUCGUAAGAUGAUGUAUAGGGGGUGACGCCUGCCCGGUGCUGGAAGGUUAAGAGGAGUGCUUAGCGUAAGCGAAGGUAUGAAUUGAAGCCCCAGUAAACGGCGGCCGUAACUAUAACGGUCCUAAGGUAGCGAAAUUCCUUGUCGGGUAAGUUCCGACCCGCACGAAAGGCGUAAUGAUUUGGGCACUGUCUCAACGAGAGACUCGGUGAAAUUUUAGUACCUGUGAAGAUGCAGGUUACCCGCGACAGGACGGAAAGACCCCAUGGAGCUUUACUGCAGUUUGAUAUUGAGUGUCUGUACCACAUGUACAGGAUAGGUAGGAGUCUAAGAGAUCGGGACGCCAGUUUCGAAGGAGACGCUGUUGGGAUACUACCCUUGUGUUAUGGCCACUNNNNNNNNNNNNNNNNNNNNNNNNNNNNNNNNNNNNNNNNNNNNUAACCCAGAUAGGUGAUCCCUAUCGGAGACAGUGUCUGACGGGCAGUUUGACUGGGGCGGUCGCCUCCUAAAAGGUAACGGAGGCGCCCAAAGGUUCCCUCAGAAUGGUUGGAAAUCAUUCGCAGAGUGUAAAGGUAUAAGGGAGCUUGACUGCGAGAGCUACAACUCGAGCAGGGACGAAAGUCGGGCUUAGUGAUCCGGUGGUUCCGUAUGGAAGGGCCAUCGCUCAACGGAUAAAAGCUACCCUGGGGAUAACAGGCUUAUCUCCCCCAAGAGUUCACAUCGACGGGGAGGUUUGGCACCUCGAUGUCGGCUCGUCGCAUCCUGGGGCUGUAGUCGGUCCCAAGGGUUGGGCUGUUCGCCCAUUAAAGCGGCACGCGAGCUGGGUUCAGAACGUCGUGAGACAGUUCGGUCCCUAUCCGUCGCGGGCGUAGGAAAUUUGAGAGGAUCUGCUCCUAGUACGAGAGGACCAGAGUGGACUUACCGCUGGUGUACCAGUUGUCUUGCCAAAGGCAUCGCUGGGUAGCUAUGUAGGGAAGGGAUAAACGCUGAAAGCAUCUAAGUGUGAAACCCACCUCAAGAUGAGAUUUCCCAUGAUUAUAUAUCAGUAAGAGCCCUGAGAGAUGAUCAGGUAGAUAGGUUAGAAGUGGAAGUGUGGCGACACAUGUAGCGGACUAAUACUAAUAGCUCGAGGACUUAUCCAA
This 2943-nucleotide ribosomal RNA is filed under the name Streptococcus pneumoniae. RNAcentral's name for it is "23S ribosomal RNA". It matches the Rfam family "Bacterial large subunit ribosomal RNA". Lineage: Bacteria; Bacillati; Bacillota; Bacilli; Lactobacillales; Streptococcaceae. The record is from RNAcentral.